This is a non-coding RNA of Oryzias latipes (Japanese medaka), 46 nucleotides long. Lineage: Eukaryota; Metazoa; Chordata; Actinopteri; Beloniformes; Adrianichthyidae. The record is from Rfam.
CCAACGGCUCUUUUAAGAGCCACUAAAUUAAUUCAGAGCUUUUAUU